This 409-nucleotide ribosomal RNA is filed under the name uncultured bacterium. Its description in RNAcentral is "bacterial SSU rRNA". It matches the Rfam family "Bacterial small subunit ribosomal RNA", at positions 355 to 776 of the family's 1533-position model. The record is from RNAcentral.
UGGGGAAUAUUGCACAAUGGGCGGAAGCCUGAUGCAGCGACGCCGCGUGAGGGAUGACGGCCUUCGGGUUGUAAACCUCUUUCAGCAGGGACGAAGCGCAAGUGACGGUACCUGCAGAAGAAGCGCCGGCCAACUACGUGCCAGCAGCCGCGGUAAGACGUAGGGCGCGAGCGUUGUCCGGAUUUAUUGGGCGUAAAGAGCUCGUAGGCGGCUUGUCGCGUCGACUGUGAAAACCCGCGGCUCAACCGCGGGCCUGCAGCCGAUACGGGCAGGCUAGAGUUCGGUAGGGGAGACUGGAAUUCCUGGUGUAGCGGUGAAAUGCGCAGAUAUCAGGAGGAACACCGGUGGCGAAGGCGGGUCUCUGGGCCGAUACUGACGCUGAGGAGCGAAAGCGUGGGGAGCGAACAGG